Molecule: ribosomal RNA, 253 nt
Filed under: uncultured prokaryote
Description: partial 16S ribosomal RNA
Rfam family: Bacterial small subunit ribosomal RNA
Source: RNAcentral
ACGUAGGGUGCAGGCGUUAAUCGGAAUUACUGGGCGUAAAGCGUGCGCAGGCGGUUUGCUAAGAUAGGUGUGAAAUCCCCGGGCUUAACCUGGGAACUGCGCUUGUAACUGGCAAGCUUGAGUGUGGCAGAGGGGGGUGGAAUUCCACGUGUAGCAGUGAAAUGCGUAGAGAUCGGGAGGAACACCAGUGGCGAAGGCGGCUCGCUGGGCCGGCCCUGACGCUGAGACGCGAAGGCGUGGGGAGCGAACGGGA